This 6445-nucleotide long non-coding RNA is filed under the name Nicotiana tabacum (common tobacco). Its description in RNAcentral is "long non-coding RNA (NTAB_LNC011118)". The record is from RNAcentral. Lineage: Eukaryota; Viridiplantae; Streptophyta; Magnoliopsida; Solanales; Solanaceae.
UCCCUUUUAAUUAACCCCCACCCGAAACCCUACCCAUUUUUCCUCCAAGCCGCUGCCUCUUAAUGCUCUCUACUCUCCCUUUUUCUCUAAAGAACCCUAGCCGCCUCCCCCUUAAAUCCCUCUCCUAAUCCCGUUGAUAAUGGAAUUCCUUCAUUAUUUUCUUACCAUAUCUAUAUUUCUCCGCUACUGGUCAUGCGUUUAUGGUAUUACUUAGGUACUUGCACAAUUUUGGAAAGUACCAUCUCCAGAUCGGACUGGAAUCGACCACAAUCUUGGAUAUUUGGACAAUAUUUCGUCCAUAUACAUGAAGAAAGGCCUGAUUCUUCAUACCAGUUGCCUGAUUUUACGCAUCAAACCCUGUCUAGGGUUUGGAGUUUGAUUUUUUUCCUUUCCAGUUACUUUACUGAUUACAUGUGUAUUUUUCUUCUUUUCUUGUUUAUUUUUGCUUAAGUUUCCUUCCUUGUUUACUCGUUUGAUUUAACUACUAUAUAAACCCAUUCCCCGCUUAACCUCUAGGUGUUAAACUAAUGAUACGACUACUACUACUACAACUAUUGUUCUCCCACUCUCAUUCAUUCUAUAUUAUUUUGAGUUUUUGAUUUUGGACGGCUGAAAGCCAAGUCCGUAGAAGUCUGUUCAUUAACCUCCUCCAGUGCAAGCACUAUUCGGAGCCCACUUCAAGGCUUUUGUAAACUCUGAAGCACUGGGGAUUUGGGGUUUCAUCAUUCUCCAGUAAUCGCAGUUAUUCCUGAUAUUAUGAGUUCUUCAUUCUUUGUUUACUUUGUUCAUAACUGGUUAGUACCUUAUACUCUCAUAAUUUUACUUCGCUCUAAUUGUGUUUAUGUUAUGUGCAUCCUUUGGGUGUUUAAUGUUGUGCCACUUUAAGCCUUCUUGUCCUAAUGCCAUCUUGUAGUUCCAACUAUGUUCUAAUUCUGAUUUUUGCAUAGUUAGCUAAGUUGAUUCAUUACGUUUGUUUGGUUUGCAAUUAAACCUGAUUGAUGUUUAUCGCACUUUGUUUGGAUCCAUGGGAAAUUAUGUCAUUGCUCAGAAUUGUUUCCUCCAUGUUGAUUCCCUUAUGCAUCACCUACUAUUUUGCUGCAAAUUAUGUGAUGACAGUGUCUACGUGCUUAGCCUAAUACGCUUUUCCUUGACAUUACUAGACUUAAUGCAUGCCCAUUGUAGAUGUCCAACUUGAUUGAUUGCUUAUGUUCACGUUUAAGUCUAAUUGAUUACUUAGGACAAUUGAUUAUCAUGAAUCCAUGACUUAGAAUCUCCUAGGAAACUAAUGCAUGCCCAGAACUUAUUGGAAUGUGUCUUUGCUAAGUCUUUCGUGUACACUUGCUAUUUUCCUGGAAUCAACUUAUGAUUAUAUGAAUUCUAUAUGCCAAUAUUGUUACAAUGCCAAGGUAGACUUGUUCUUUGCUUUGAUGUUGUGUGCUCACUGAUUGUUUGAGACUCCUAGGGUGAAUUUCAAUACAUGUGUAGUUUACGUCUUCUUAUGUCGACUAAGACAAGUCCCCGCCCUCUUCAUGUGAUGCAUGCUUGCCUUAUUUACCUAAAAUCCAGUUUCUUCUCAUCUUCCAUGAAUAUUUACUUACCUGUAGGAUUUAAAACCUUUGUUUGGUGAUUUGUAUUUACCUGAAUAUUUUACAUGUUAAGCUCUGCAAGUUAGUUGUUCUCAUUAGUCUCUCAUGUUAAGGUUGUAUCUCACAUAUUCUUGUCUAUGGCACUACUAGGUUAUCAUGCUAAAACCCCUGCCUAAAGCUCUCUAAGAUAGUCCUAGGCCAAGCUUUGUUUUGAAACUUUGUUUGAAAUAAUCUUGUUGCUCUUAAGUUCCGUUUCUGGAAUGAUAAGCAUAAACUUGACUCAUAUGUGUCUUGUAUGUUUUCCCAAUUUAAGCAUGAUCUUGCUUAUAUGCCUUAACUAGAAUAGAUAUUAGUUACAACUUUAGGAGUAGUUUGUUACCCAUAUGGCUGAAUUUAACAUUCCCUAGCUUAAUCAUUGGAAUCGUUUGGUCCUGGUAUGUUAGGCUUGGCUUUGGUGUUGAGGGUUCGAAAGUACUGUCUGCACCUGGAGUUUGGGCCUGGUGUCCUAAGCCUAUUUGAAGGCCCAGAUGUAUUACUGGGUUAUUCUGUAUUUAUAUUUGGGCCUGUAAUUAUUUCAAAUGAGUUGUAACAAUUUGUAAGCAAGUGAUGGGGAGAUUAGUGAAAAGGGGGCUGGGGUAUUCCGAUUCUCACAUGAAGGGGUAGAAAACUUGCCUAUAGGAUUUAAUUAAAGCCUUGUUUGCUAUUCGUUUAAUGUGAUCCUAUUCUACACGCUUAUAGAAAUCAUGCCUAUAGGGAUCACACACACUUCACUUGUACACUAUUCAAAGCAUGUUAGUAUUUUCCAUACUUGUUUCUAUGUCUAUCACUGUGCACACUUAUAUAGCAUGCCUAUAUGAUACAAUAACGUAUAUUUUACUAAUGCUCGUCUAGAUACCAUGUCUAUAGGGUUUCAACUAAUCAAUCAAUCAGUCACUUCUAUUGCUUUUGGUACACUGCUCAUCUAUAUAUCAUGAUUAUAGGAUCUUAAUCAACUAAUCAAUUACUUUGUUGCUUCAUUGUAUUGCCACACCUAGAUGACAUGCCUAUAGGGAUCAAGUAUUAUAAAAUCAAUUUCAAUUGUCAACUAUUAGAAAUCCUGCCUAUAGGAUACUGUUACUCGUCUUAGAUAGCAUAUCUAUAAAUCAAACAUCAUUAACCCUGGGCUUUUGAAGAGUCUUACUGCCUCUUCGAGCGAACAAUGUAGAUAUCAUGCCUAUAGGAUUGUAAUACCUUUUAAUGUGCCAAUUAAUUAGUCUAAAGUUGUCGUAUUGUUUGUAUGAUACUGAAAUCAGAAUCACAUAGAACCAUGCCUAUAGGACUUAAUGACUCUAAUGCGGAUUAAUUCUAAAAUUGUCUAUUGCCUAAUAUGCCGAGCAUUUGUUGUUUAUGUGAGGAGGUUAACUUGAGCCCUUUAUUGAUUUUAUGUGAAGUCUUAUAUGUUUUGAGUGCACGCCUACUUUUAUCAUUUUGAGUAUCCUAAGUAGAGUCUAGAACCACCCCAAAUAGUAGGUCUAAAGCCUCGUGGACCACAGGCGUGGGACAGGUAGUGCACACAUAGGACACGACCUAGAAUUGAAUUAGAGCGUCUUUAGGUAAACAACUUUAACAUAGUAAUCGGGUAGCAGGAGAUGAUAGUAUGUGCAUGCUGAACAAUAUGAGUAACCCCUACGUUAAGAGAGUUGCGAAGUAUUAUUUAUGUUGCAUGGGGUGAUCCUUUAGGCUAAAAAACUUAGGACCCCCUCCUCCUUUAUAUAUGUUCAUUGUUCACACUUAGUCAUUAAAUAUAGAAUAAUUAAGUUGUACCUUGUAACCUCUAAAGACUUGUAUUGACUAUCUAUAUAGUCUAAUUGUUGCCUGAUUUUCUUUGCACAUGCUCAUAAUAAAACCUUUAAAUUCCUUGUCUUCCCUCACUUAUAUGAUCACUUGGGACAAUUGUAAUAUGAUAAUCCCACAUAGUUUAAAAUUUGGCCAGGAACCAUAGUUGUGGAUCUCGAAGAGUGCCUAACACCUUCUUUUUAAGAUAAUUCGAGUCGUUACCCGAUCUUUGGUAACACAGACUAGCUAAAAUAGAAUUAUUUUCAUAUAGGUUCCCUAAUGCACCUUAAAAUCAUUAGGUGGCGACUUUUCUCUUUUACUACCCAUUUAAAAGAGUUGUCAUAUGUUUAAGUCCGAUUAUGCGAGAAAAAGGGGGCGCGACAAUGAGAUGGAUCCUUCUAGAACAUAGUCUCGAGUUCGUUUUUCUCUUGCGAUGGAGAGUUUGGUGUGUUUUAUCAUCGGCCCUUGGGAACAUCCACUCCUUCGAUAAUCAUAUUAAUCACAUAUUGGGAUUCUUCAUGCUCGACAUGUUUGGCGUCCCUGUUCCUGAAAUGGUUUUUGGCCCACUCACUUAGGAAUUCUUGAACCCAUUAUUUAACAAAUGAGCCACUUCUCCCUUAACUGUCGACAAUCCUCAGUUCUAUGCCCGUGAGUACCGUGAUAUUUCCAUAUAAAUUGUGAUCAAUUUGUGCCAGAUUGGACUGAAGCGGCCUCGGCUAUUUGGUCUCCUUGAUGCGACCGAUGGCAGACACUAUGCUUUAUGCAUCUACGUUGAAGUUAUACUCGAAUAACCUAGGGGCAUCUCUAACUCCGGAUGAUCUAUCAAGCCCGUUUCAAACACCUGCCCUCGAUUUCUUGGACCCUAAUAAUUUUUUCUGUUGUUCCUGGUCGAGUAGUGACCGGGUCCGCUUCCCCUUCUAUCUGGGUUGUAAGGUUGGUAUCGAUCUUGAGGUGGCCCCGACUCCUGAUCCAAUACUCUUUUAUACUUGUCGUUCAUUUUAGAGGGAUAAACCGACCCCGAUGGGGUCUCUAAUUGGUCAUCCAUGACUCUGAUAUUUUGAUUGAUACCUGUUGUGGACAUCAGCCCAGGUAACCGUUGGAUAUUUUACCAAAUUUUGCUUCAGUUAUUGAGAUGCAACUGAACUUUGGGGGUUGAGCUGCCGAGUAAAUGCUUGAAUGGCCCAAUUAUCUGUAACCGGUGGUAGGUCCAUCAUUGGAACCUUGACACAAAUUGUAAGGCCCUAUAAAUUUUACCUAAAACCUCGGGACUUCUUAGUGUCGGGGUAGACUUACGUGUUCAUGAUUAUGGACUUUUUGGGUUGAACGGUGCACUGGGGAGUAAAAGAAAUAUUAUUCGUGCUGGGUAGACACUACCGCGCUGAGGAGGCGCGCUUGUGGCGAUUUCUCGAACACUUCGAAAAUACAUUUCUGGGCACAUUUUUCACUAUCGCGCCGCACCAUGCGGCGCGGCUGUGCUAAUUCAGGGUUUUUAGAACCUAACCCCUAUUUCAUUUAUCUAGCCUAAGGGUUCGUUUUGGGGGGGAUUUUCUGGUGUUUUAGAGAGAGGGGAGAGCGACUCUAGAGAGAGGAUAGGGAGGACUAAGGAUUUCACUACUCUACCUUGAAUCAAACCUUAAAAUUUCAUCAAAGGGUUGCUAGGGCUUCAAAGAGGUAAGAAUUUCUUUCCCGUGUUCUUCAAUUUCGAAAUUUAACUAGAAAUGGGUAAUUAGUAAGAUACUCUUUGGGCAUGGGAGUUGUCCAUCUUGCAUGCAUUUGUUAUCAAAGGGAUGUAAGGAGAUUGUUGAGCUAAAAAUGAUAGAUAAUGGGUUUGGGAUGUUGGAAUCCUCCAUAAAAGGACCUUGGAACCUUAAUGCACACCUAGUGUUUGAUAAAAUGCUCAAAUGAGCUAGAACCAUGAUCAUCUUCCUAAUUUUGGUUCAAUUUGUUACAUUUCUAAAAUAGAUUCAAGUUGCUAAGAUUUCUGGAACAUUUUAGAGUGUAAGGAAGCUCAAGUGAGGUAUGUUGGCUAAACUCUUCUUUAAGAACUGAACCCCCCAUUACCCUUGUAAGUUCCAAGAUGUCUAUUAUAAAUUGAGUAUUCCAAAUACGUUUUGUGACAAAGAUAUAUGUUUAAUUCGUAUUUCAAAUGCUCUUAUCAUGUUGUAUUAUAAAUUGAGGAUGUGUUCCAAACUGUGGAUUGUGUAUCUACAUCCUAUAAUUCCAUGUCGUGAUUUAUGUGGAAGUUAUUGUGCCAAAUUGUGUAGAGAUUGGGAUUGGGAUUACACCUCCACACGCAUACAUUGGGGUGAGGCGACAUGGCCGUUGUGUGUAGGUAUUGGUAUCGUUGAUGCAUUUCCACCCGCAUAGAUUGGGGUGAGGCGGCAUGGCCACUUUGUGUAGGUUUUUGAUAUUGUGGUUAUACCUUCACCCACAUACAUUAGGGUGAGGCGGCAGGGUCACUUGAGUAAAGUUGUGGUAUUGUGCUUACACCUCCACCUGCAUACAUUGAGAUGAGGCGGCAGGGCCACUUUGUGUAAAGAUAGUUACAGAUGAUCUCAUCUUAAAUUCUAUAAAUGUUAUUAAUAGCUCUUGAUAAGCUUUCUUUGGCUUAAACGACUAUUUAUGCUAUUCUAUUGUCGCCCUGAUUCAUCAUAUUCAUAUUGUACUUCCGAGUUCUUAAAUUGGUGUUUGGUUUUCAUACUAGUACUCUUCGACAUAUACUAACGUCCCUUUUGCCUGGGGCGCUGCAUCUUUAAUGGAUGCAGGUGGUUCCAAAGCGGAGGAUAUUGACCAGUGAUAGCGGUGCUCAUUCUUCCCAGCUGACUUGGUGAGCUCCAUCUCAUUCCGGGGUUGUUCAUCUUUUGUUUCGUAUGUGUUAUCGUGUUUUGAGGUAUAGCCGGAGCCUUAUUGCCGGCACUAUCAUUGUACUCUUUGGUAUCUUUAGAGGCUCUGUAGACUUAGUGUGGGUUGUAUAUGGGUGUUGGGAAUGUUAAACAAGUUGUGUUGUGAUUGAAUCACUUGUUCCACUUGGAACCAUGAAGGGG